GUGUCAGCAGCCGCGGUAAAACGUAGGAGGCGAGCGUUAUCCGGAUUUACUGGGCGUAAAGCGCACGCAGGCGGCUCGGCAAGUCGGACGUGAAAGCUCCUGGCUUAACUGGGAGAGGCCGUUCGAUACUGUCGGGCUUGAGGUUGGGAGAGGGGUGCGGAAUUCCCGGUGUAGUGGUGGAAUGCGUAGAUAUCGGGAGGAACACCAGUGGCGAAGGCGGCACCCUGGCCCACACCUGACGCUGAGGUGCGAAAGCGUGGGUAGCAAACAGGAUUAGAAACCCCGGUAGUCC
This 292-nucleotide ribosomal RNA is filed under the name uncultured bacterium. RNAcentral describes it as "partial 16S ribosomal RNA". It matches the Rfam family "Bacterial small subunit ribosomal RNA", at positions 505 to 796 of the family's 1533-position model. The record is from RNAcentral.